AUUGAACGCUGGCGGCAGGCCUAACACAUGCAAGUCGAACGGUAGCACAGAGAGCUUGCUCUCGGGUGACGAGUGGCGGACGGGUGAGUAAUGUCUGGGAAACUGCCCGAUGGAGGGGGAUAACUACUGGAAACGGUAGCUAAUACCGCAUAAUGUCGCAAGACCAAAGAAGGGGACCUUCGGGCCUCUUGCCAUCGGAUGUGCCCAGAUGGGAUUAGCUUGUUGGUGAGGUAAUGGCUCACCAAGGCGACGAUCCCUAGCUGGUCUGAGAGGAUGACCAGCCACACUGGAACUGAGACACGGUCCAGACUCCUACGGGAGGCAGCAGUGGGGAAUAUUGCACAAUGGGCGCAAGCCUGAUGCAGCCAUGCCGCGUGUGUGAAGAAGGCCUUCGGGUUGUAAAGCACUUUCAGCGGGGAGGAAGGCGAUACGGUUAAUAACCGGGUUGAUUGACGUUACCCGCAGAAGAAGCACCGGCUAACUCCGUG
Molecule: ribosomal RNA, 488 nt
Filed under: uncultured bacterium
Lineage: Bacteria
Description: partial 16S ribosomal RNA
Rfam family: Bacterial small subunit ribosomal RNA
Source: RNAcentral